CCAUGUACUGUAACCUGUCAGGCUGUCAGCAGCAAAAGUGAAACCUGUUUUAUUUCUUAAGUGUUUAAAAUGGAAAUAGGGCGAUUCUUUUUACAUUUGACCGGACCGGACAAAACGGGAGAGGAUCAACAUGCAGAGGAAUUAAUACCUACAUAAUCCUCUUGUCAUCACCAGCAUCGGUGAUAUGGAGAGGAUCGAUACAAUUUCUCAUGUGUUUCAUCGUCCGGUAUGUAGUGUUGAGGGUUCUUAGUUUGCAACGAUGUCCUUUACGGUUGGUGGGAAACAUUUUGGGGCUGGACAACAGUAAGAAGCCUUCCACUUUUCCGAAAUCUCCAAUUCCAAAAUAAUUACCAGUGAUGUAACGUUGUUGUUGUUACGUUAAACUUACUGUGAUUGAAAUUCGGGUAACAUUACUGAGCAGUUUGUUAAAGCUGUUAUAGGUUCCCACGAGUCAUGGCUGUCAUCUUAGCCCACCCACUUCACUUUGUAAGCUAUGCCUGUCCCAAGUUUUCUGCAAAUAAAAUUUAAACAGUCCAAAGUUAAA
Long non-coding RNA from Daphnia pulex (common water flea), 544 nucleotides. RefSeq lists it as uncharacterized. The record is from RefSeq and is a predicted model, not a curated record. The transcript is spliced from 2 exons. NCBI's taxonomy places the organism in Eukaryota, Metazoa, Arthropoda, Branchiopoda, Diplostraca, Daphniidae.